GCUUGUCUCAAAGAUUAAGCCAUGCAUGUCUAAGUAUAAACGAUUUUAUACGUGAAACUGCGAAUGGCUCAUUAUAUCAGUUAUAGUUUAUUUGAUGGUCCUUACUACUUGGAUAACCGUAGUAAUUCUAGAGCUAAUACAUGCAUCAAGCCCUGACUUCGGAAGGGGUGUAUUUAUUAGAUGGAAACCAAUCCAUGCUUGCAUGGUUUUGUGGUGAUUCAUAAUAACUGAUCGAAUCGCAUGCCUUCGGGCGGCGAUGUAUCAUUCAAGUUUCUGACCUAUCAGCUUCCGACGGUAGGGUAUUGGCCUACCGUGGCAAUGACGGGUAACGGGGAAUUAGGGUUCGAUUCCGGAGAGGGAGCCUGAGAAACGGCUACCACAUCUAAGGA
RNAcentral lists this ribosomal RNA (389 nucleotides) under uncultured Colpodella. Its description in RNAcentral is "partial small subunit ribosomal RNA". It matches the Rfam family "Eukaryotic small subunit ribosomal RNA", at positions 30 to 422 of the family's 1831-position model. Lineage: Eukaryota; Colpodellaceae. The record is from RNAcentral.